RNAcentral lists this ribosomal RNA (253 nucleotides) under uncultured bacterium. Its description in RNAcentral is "partial 16S ribosomal RNA". It matches the Rfam family "Bacterial small subunit ribosomal RNA", at positions 524 to 776 of the family's 1533-position model. The record is from RNAcentral.
UACGAAGGGGGCUAGCGUUGCUCGGAAUGACUGGGCGUAAAGGGCGCGUAGGCGGUUCGUACAGUCAGACGUGAAAUUCCCGGGCUCAACCUGGGGGCUGCGUUUGAUACGUGCGGGCUUGAGUUCGGAAGAGGGUCGUGGAAUUCCCAGUGUAGAGGUGAAAUUCGUAGAUAUUGGGAAGAACACCGGUGGCGAAGGCGGCGACCUGGACCGGUAUUGACGCUGAGGCGCGAAAGCUAGGGGAGCAAACGGG